UACGGAGGGUGCGAGCGUUAAUCGGAAUAACUGGGCGUAAAGGGCACGCAGGCGGGCUGUUAAGUGAGGUGUGAAAUCCCCGGGCUUAACCUGGGAAUAGCAUCUCAGACUGGGAGGCUUGAGUACUUUAGGGGGGGGUGGAAUUCCAGGUGUAGCGGUGAAAUGCGUAGAGAUCUGGAGGAAUACCGGUGGCGAAGGCGGCCCCCUGGACGAAGACUGACGCUCAGGUGCGAAAGCGUGGGGAGCAAACAGG
This 253-nucleotide ribosomal RNA is filed under the name uncultured bacterium. Its description in RNAcentral is "partial 16S ribosomal RNA". It matches the Rfam family "Bacterial small subunit ribosomal RNA", at positions 524 to 776 of the family's 1533-position model. The record is from RNAcentral.